This is a non-coding RNA of Cinara cedri, 720 nucleotides long. NCBI's taxonomy places the organism in Eukaryota, Metazoa, Arthropoda, Insecta, Hemiptera, Aphididae. The record is from the annotation of a GenBank genome assembly.
AAUUUUCGGAAAAAUCGCGAAUAUUACGAAGCUGUGAUACGCGUAUAACAGAACUCCGCUCCGAAUCGUUUUUCGUUCGCAACGGUUAAUCGUUGAUAUUGAUAUUAUGCAUCGAGUGUUCGGGUGUUCCCCUCUAUAUCCUAACUUUUCAACUUCUCACCGACAACGGUAGCCGCACACAUCGUGCGAAGUAUGUCCGUUUUUUUUUCUUAUUACAAUGUAGAUAGGUACUUUAUACUUCGGGGCAGUGGCGUGCCGCGGUAAGUUUUUUUUUUUUUUUUGAGGCGAUCGCCUCGUGACUAAAACGGGUGGAUAAAUUUGGGUCAACAAAUAAUACGUUAAAUGUCGAUUACGUAUAACUACUUCGGUGAUCAAAGAUGCCCUAAUAGUUUUGUCCAUUAUAUCAUUUAUAUUAUUCAUGUCGACUGCAUGCCGUAAAUAUGACAGUUUUGGGCGGGUAGGUACUAAUUCGUCCGUUUCGCUAACUCGAGCAGGUACAAAAAAAUUGUUCAGCACGCCACUGCCACGGGGUGUUUCAUGUGAACAGUAAAUCCGUAUAGACGAACGGCUUACGUGUACGAUGCACCUACAUUAGCCAAAAUUAUGUGCAAAGGUCACUAACCCAAAACUUUAUGAAUAGGUAUAAAUAUUUUUCCCGACGGCAAUUGAAUUUCCGUUUAUCUGUUGAAACACUCACAGCUAUACGGCCGUGUUGACGGC